GUACGGGAGGCAGCAGUAGGGAAUCUUCCGCAAUGGACGAAAGUCUGACGGAGCAACGCCGCGUGAGCGAUGAAGGCCUUCGGGUCGUAAAGCUCUGUUGUUAGGGAAGAACAAGUAUCGGAGUAACUGCCGGUACCUUGACGGUACCUAACCAGAAAGCCACGGCUAACUACGUGCCAGCAGCCGCGGUAAUACGUAGGUGGCAAGCGUUGUCCGGAAUUAUUGGGCGUAAAGCGCGCGCAGGCGGUCCUUUAAGUCUGAUGUGAAAGCCCACGGCUCAACCGUGGAGGGUCAUUGGAAACUGGGGGACUUGAGUGCAGAAGAGGAAAGCGGAAUUCCACGUGUAGCGGUGAAAUGCGUAGAGAUGUGGAGGAACACCAGUGGCGAAGGCGGCUUUCUGGUCUGUAACUGACGCUGAGGCGCGAAAGCGUGGGGAGCAAACAGGAUUAGAUACCCCGGUAGUCCC
This 466-nucleotide ribosomal RNA is filed under the name uncultured bacterium. Its description in RNAcentral is "bacterial SSU rRNA". It matches the Rfam family "Bacterial small subunit ribosomal RNA", at positions 339 to 797 of the family's 1533-position model. The record is from RNAcentral.